Molecule: ribosomal RNA, 489 nt
Filed under: Limosilactobacillus vaginalis
Lineage: Bacteria; Bacillati; Bacillota; Bacilli; Lactobacillales; Lactobacillaceae
Description: bacterial SSU rRNA
Rfam family: Bacterial small subunit ribosomal RNA
Source: RNAcentral
CUGAUAUGACGUGCUUGCACUGAAUUGACGUUGGAUUCCCAGUGAGCGGCGGACGGGUGAGUAACACGUGGGCAACCUGCCCUGAAGCGGGGGAUAACAUCUGGAAACAGGUGCUAAUACCGCAUAACAACGAAAACCACAUGGUUUUCGUUUCAAAGAUGGUUUCGGCUAUCACUUCAGGAUGGGCCCGCGGUGCAUUAGCUAGUUGGUAAGGUAACGGCUUGCCAAGGCGAUGAUGCAUAGCCGAGUUGAGAGACUGAUCGGCCACAAUGGAACUGAGACACGGUCCAUACUCCUACGGGAGGCAGCAGUAGGGAAUCUUCCACAAUGGGCGCAAGCCUGAUGGAGCAACACCGCGUGAGUGAAGAAGGGUUUCGGCUCGUAAAGCUCUGUUGUUGGAGAAGAACGUGCGUGAGAGUAACUGUUCACGCAGUGACNGUAUCCAACCAAAAAGNUACNGGUUACUACGUGCCACAGGCGCGGUAAUUA